RNAcentral lists this ribosomal RNA (253 nucleotides) under uncultured bacterium. Its description in RNAcentral is "partial 16S ribosomal RNA". It matches the Rfam family "Bacterial small subunit ribosomal RNA", at positions 524 to 776 of the family's 1533-position model. The record is from RNAcentral.
UACAGAGGGUGCAAGCGUUGUUCGGAAUUAUUGGGCGUAAAGCGCACGUAGGCGGUUCGUUAAGUCGGAUGUGAAAGCCCUCGGCUCAACUGAGGAAGUGCACCCGAAACUGGCGAGCUUGAGUACGAAAGAGGAUCGCGGAAUUCCCGGUGUAGAGGUGAAAUUCGUAGAUAUCGGGAGGAACACCGGUGGCGAAGGCGGCGAUCUGGGUCGAUACUGACGCUGAGGUGCGAAAGCGUGGGGAGCAAACAGG